GUGGGGAAUCUUGCGCAAUGGGCGAAAGCCUGACGCAGCCAUGCCGCGUGAAUGAUGAAGGUCUUAGGACUGUAAAAUUCUUUCACCGGGGACGAUAAUGACGGUACCCGGAGAAGAAGCUCCGGCUAACUUCGUGCCAGCAGCCGCGGUAAUACGAAGGGGGCUAGCGUUGCUCGGAAUUACUGGGCGUAAAGGGCGCGUAGGCGGACAGCUUAGUCAGAGGUGAAAGCCCAGGGCUCAACCUUGGAAUUGCCUUUGAUACUGGCUGUCUUGAGUUUGGGAGAGGUGAGUGGAACUCCGAGUGUAGAGGUGAAAUUCGUAGAUAUUCGGAAGAACACCAGUGGCGAAGGCGACUCACUGGCCCAAUACUGACGCUGAGGCGCGAAAGCGUGGGGAGCAAACAGGAUUAGAUACCCUGGUAGUCC
This 425-nucleotide ribosomal RNA is filed under the name uncultured bacterium. Its description in RNAcentral is "partial 16S ribosomal RNA". It matches the Rfam family "Bacterial small subunit ribosomal RNA", at positions 354 to 796 of the family's 1533-position model. The record is from RNAcentral.